GAACAAUACUAGUUCUGCAAGUGUUAUGUUAGUUGUGUUUCAUCUUAACAUAUUAUGGAGUGUACAAUAACGCAACUAACAUAACACUUGCAGAACUAGUAUUGUUCA
Non-coding RNA from Paramuricea clavata, 108 nucleotides. NCBI's taxonomy places the organism in Eukaryota, Metazoa, Cnidaria, Anthozoa, Malacalcyonacea, Plexauridae. The record is from the annotation of a GenBank genome assembly.